CCUACGGGGGGCUGCAGUGAGGAAUAUUGGUCAAUGGACGAGAGUCUGAACCAGCCAAGUAGCGUGAAGGAUGACUGCCCUAUGGGUUGUAAACUUCUUUUAUAUGGGAAUAAAACGUUCCACGUGUGGGAUUUUGUAUGUACCAUAUGAAUAAGGAUCGGCUAACUCCGUGCCAGCAGCCGCGGUAAUACGGAGGAUCCGAGCGUUAUCCGGAUUUAUUGGGUUUAAAGGGAGCGUAGGUGGAUUGUUAAGUCAGUUGUGAAAGUUUGCGGCUCAACCGUAAAAUUGCAGUUGAAACUGGCAGUCUUGAGUACAGUAGAGGUGGGCGGAAUUCGUGGUGUAGCGGUGAAAUGCUUAGAUAUCACGCAGAACUCCGAUUGCGAAGGCAGUUCACUGGACUGCAACUGACACUGAGGCUCGAAAGUGUGGGUAUCAAACAGGAUUAGAUACCCUAGUAGUC
RNAcentral lists this ribosomal RNA (460 nucleotides) under uncultured bacterium. Its description in RNAcentral is "partial 16S ribosomal RNA". It matches the Rfam family "Bacterial small subunit ribosomal RNA", at positions 338 to 795 of the family's 1533-position model. The record is from RNAcentral.